CAGCAGCCACGGUAAAACGUAGGUGGCAAGCGUUGCCCGGAAUUAUUGGGCGUAAAGGGCUCGCAGGCGGUUUCUUAAGUCUGAUGUGAAAGCCCCCGGCUCAACCGGGGAGGGUCAUUGGAAACUGGGAAACUUGAGUGCAGAAGAGGAGAGUGGAAUUCCACGUGUAGCGGUGAAAUGCGUAGAGAUGUGGAGGAACACCAGUGGCGAAGGCGACUCUCUGGUCUGUAACUGACGCUGAGGAGCGAAAGCGUGGGGAGCGAACAGGAUUAGAUACCCGCGUAGUCCCUGUCUCUUAUAC
RNAcentral lists this ribosomal RNA (301 nucleotides) under uncultured bacterium. Its description in RNAcentral is "partial 16S ribosomal RNA". It matches the Rfam family "Bacterial small subunit ribosomal RNA", at positions 509 to 807 of the family's 1533-position model. The record is from RNAcentral.